This 69-nucleotide transfer RNA is filed under the name Babylonia zeylanica. Its description in RNAcentral is "tRNA-Ile". Lineage: Eukaryota; Metazoa; Mollusca; Gastropoda; Neogastropoda; Buccinidae. The record is from RNAcentral.
AGUACUACGCCGGAUGAACGGAAAUCAUUGAUGUUGAUUAAUAUGGGAUGGUAGAAGUCUCUAGUACUA